UACGGAGGGUGCGAGCGUUGUUCGGAAUUACUGGGCGUAAAGGACGCGUAGGCGGGCGUGAAAGUCGAUUGUGAAAGCCCCGGGCUUAACCCGGGAACUGCAGUCGAUACUCCACGUCUUGAGUGCUUGAGAGGGUGCUGGAAUUCCUGGUGUAGAGGUGAAAUUCGUAGAUAUCAGGAGGAACACCGGAGGCGAAGGCGGGCACCUGGCGAGACACUGACGCUGAAGCGUGAAAGUGCGGGGAU
Molecule: ribosomal RNA, 245 nt
Filed under: uncultured bacterium
Lineage: Bacteria
Description: partial 16S ribosomal RNA
Rfam family: Bacterial small subunit ribosomal RNA
Source: RNAcentral